RNAcentral lists this ribosomal RNA (484 nucleotides) under uncultured bacterium. Its description in RNAcentral is "partial 16S ribosomal RNA". It matches the Rfam family "Bacterial small subunit ribosomal RNA", at positions 30 to 507 of the family's 1533-position model. The record is from RNAcentral.
AUUGAACGCUGGCGGCAGGCCUAACACAUGCAAGUCGAGCGGAUGAAGGGAGCUUGCUCCUGGAUUCAGCGGCGGACGGGUGAGUAAUGCCUAGGAAUCUGCCUGGUAGUGGGGGAUAACGUCCGGAAACGGGCGCUAAUACCGCAUACGUCCUGAGGGAGAAAGUGGGGGAUCUUCGGACCUCACGCUAUCAGAUGAGCCUAGGUCGGAUUAGCUAGUUGGUGGGGUAAAGGCCUACCAAGGCGACGAUCCGUAACUGGUCUGAGAGGAUGAUCAGUCACACUGGAACUGAGACACGGUCCAGACGCCUACGGGAGGCAGCAGUGGGGAAUAUUGGACAAUGGGCGAAAGCCUGAUCCAGCCAUGCCGCGUGUGUGAAGAAGGUCUUCGGAUUGUAAAGCACUUUAAGUGGGGAGGAAGGGCAGUAAGUUAAUACCUUGCUGUUUUGACGUUACCAACAGAAUAAGCACCGGCUAACUUCGUG